GACAGAUUGAAAGGCAGAAGGAAGGAAAGAAAGAAUAUGUUGAAGAACUCUAAUUACUCGAGCAGUGACCGAAACAUUAGCCAAAGAUUAGAGAUGGAAAGAGGAGAAGGGAGAGAGAGAGCGAGGAGUUUCUUACCAGCAGAAAAGCUGAGCCCAGUAUUAAGGCACGCUCCUUGGCGGUUAGCUUUGGAUCGCUAAAAUAGAUAUUUGUUGUAUAUUGCGAUUUGCUGGCCACCCAUUUGUGGUCUAUAGAAGCGCGCAGAUCGCCACCAGAAUGAAUCUAAAUAAGAAAUACAUACAUAUUAUAAAAGUAUUGGUAAAUAGAAGUAAACCCACCUUAAAGUAGCAUUCCUUGGGCAAACAAUAGCAGCAGAAGCCGGAAUUCGCGGGUCCUUCGACACAAAAGACUGGCUGAUGCGUAUUGCCGUCCUCAAUGUAGAACUCGGGCUGCGUAAAGGUGGGCGACUGCACGACACGACCCAGCACGUUGCCCGGCGGAAUCCAAAUCUCCAAGUUCUUGGGCUGGCAGCAAAUGGCGCCCAGUGCGAGCGUCUUGCGGAACACCAAAGCCUCCUGAUGUGUCUUGUCGAGCAAGUGCAUCUGGAAGGGCCGUCCGGAGCCCCAGAUCAUGCGGUUGUUCUGCGUGGAGCUCUCGGAGGCGGCGAAGAUGGCAUCGCCCAGGGGCGAGCGAACCACAUAACGAUUCUCCGACGAGACAGCUGUGAGAGCUAAAGAGAAUUUAAGUAGAUUAGACAAGAGAUCAACGAUGAACUCAUCUCACUCACAAUCGUUCAACUCAAAUGUCUGCUCGAUGUGCACAGACGGCAAAUCGGCGAGGCAAUCGUAGCCAGCCAGGGGUAUAAAGGUGCGACUGCCAGCAACUGUUGAAAUGGGCAAAGGUAUCCGAGGAGCAUCUACAAAGAUAGUGGAACGUAAUUUUAAUCAAAAAGUAUAAAUAGAGCAAUAUAGUAAGUAGAUUAUAAAUAGAAAUAUAUAUAUUGUCUAGCAAAUAUAACAACUUAUAUGAUAUAUACAGGGAUCAGUUACAAUUUCCAGCGACAGAAAGGUAAGACUCACCUGUUGUUGGUCGCGGCUGGGAGGUUAUGCUGAUUUGUCCAUCAAAAACUGUAAUUACAAGAAAAUGCAAAAAAAAAAAAAAAUACCUUUACUUCAAUUCACAGACUUAAAUGGGUUAGUGAAAUUCUUAUAAAUCGAUCAUUUGGUCAAUUGGAGAGGGCUAAACAAAGAAAAUGUCGAUAAGGCGUUCAUAAAACCAAAACAGAAACAGUUGCUGAUAAGAUACGGCCAGCUUGUACCUGCUGACACACACACUAAAACACAAAUACAGGCAGACAGCAGACCUAAUAAUCCAAUUGUUACAUACAACUAGCAGAAAUUAUCAGUUACUAAUAAGAAAUAUUAAACAUGAAUCAUUAGCAUUCCAA
Drosophila mojavensis is the source of this 1445-nucleotide long non-coding RNA. RefSeq lists it as uncharacterized. Lineage: Eukaryota; Metazoa; Arthropoda; Insecta; Diptera; Drosophilidae. The record is from RefSeq and is a predicted model, not a curated record. The transcript is spliced from 2 exons.